GAUGAACGCUGGCGGCGUGCCUAAUACAUGCAAGUCGAGCGGACGGACGAGAAGCUUGCUUCUCUGAUGUUAGCGGCGGACGGGUGAGUAAUACGUGGAUAACCUACCUAUAAGACUGGGGUAACUUCGGGAAACCGGAGCUAAUACCGGAUAAUAUUUUGAACCGCAUGGUUCAAAAGUGAAAGACGGUCUUGCUGACACUUAUAGAUGGUUCCGCGCUGCAUUAGCUAGUUGGUAAGGUAACGGCUUACCAAGGCAACGAUGCAUAGCCGACCUGAGAGGGUGAUCGGCCACACUGGAACUGAGACACGGUCCAGACUCCUACGGGAGGCAGCAGUAGGGAAUCUUCCGCAAUGGGCGAAAGCCUGACGGAGCAACGCCGCGUGAGUGAUGAAGGUCUUCGGAUCGUAAAACUCUGUUAGUAGGGAAGAACAUCUGUGUAAGUAACUGUGCACAUCUUGACGGUACCUAAUCAGAAAGCCACGGCUAACUACGUG
RNAcentral lists this ribosomal RNA (497 nucleotides) under uncultured bacterium. RNAcentral describes it as "partial 16S ribosomal RNA". It matches the Rfam family "Bacterial small subunit ribosomal RNA", at positions 28 to 507 of the family's 1533-position model. The record is from RNAcentral.